UCUUCCGUAGUAUAGUGGUCAAUGCAAGCUUGUCACGCUUGAGACCCGGGUUCAAUUCCCGGCGGGAGAG
RNAcentral lists this transfer RNA (70 nucleotides) under Fusarium proliferatum. It matches the Rfam family "tRNA". From Rfam's summary of the family: Transfer RNA (tRNA) molecules are approximately 80 nucleotides in length. Their secondary structure includes four short double-helical elements and three loops (D, anti-codon, and T loops). RNAcentral also lists the same sequence under 1 other name. The record is from RNAcentral. Lineage: Eukaryota; Fungi; Ascomycota; Sordariomycetes; Hypocreales; Nectriaceae.